GACGAACGCUGGCGGCGUGCUUAACACAUGCAAGUCGAACGGUGAUGCUCCAGCUUGCUGGCGUGGAUCAGUGGCGAACGGGUGAGUAACACGUGAGCAACCUGCCCCAGACUCUGGAAUAAGCGCUGGAAACGGCGUCUAAUACUGGAUACGAAACUGGCCCGCAUGGGCAUGGUUUGGAAAGUUUUUCGGUUUGGGAUGGGCUCGCGGCCUAUCAGCUUGUUGGUGAGGUAAUGGCUCACCAAGGCGACGACGGGUAGCCGGCCUGAGAGGGCGACCGGCCACACGGGACUGGGGACACGGCCCGGACUCUUCCGGGAGGCAGCGGUGGGAAUUAUUGCACAAGGGGCGAAGGCCGGAUGCAGGGACGCGGCGGGGGGAAUGACGGCCUUCGGGUUGAAACCCUCUUCCGGCGGGAAGGAAGCGAAGGUGACGGUACUGCAGAAGAAGCACCGGCUAACUACGUG
This 467-nucleotide ribosomal RNA is filed under the name uncultured bacterium. RNAcentral describes it as "partial 16S ribosomal RNA". It matches the Rfam family "Bacterial small subunit ribosomal RNA", at positions 28 to 507 of the family's 1533-position model. The record is from RNAcentral.